This is a small nuclear RNA of Choloepus hoffmanni (Hoffmann's two-fingered sloth), 107 nucleotides long. The record is from Ensembl. Lineage: Eukaryota; Metazoa; Chordata; Mammalia; Pilosa; Megalonychidae.
CUGCUCAACUUCAGCAGCACAUUUACCAAAGUUGGACUGAGACAGAGAAGAUUAACCUAGCCCCUGCACAGGAUGACAGGCAAAUCCAUACAGCUUUCCACUCCUCA